GCAAGUCGAGCGAGAAGGUUUUGAAUGAUUCUUCGGAUGAUUUCAAAACUAGAGAGCGGCGGACGGGUGAGUAACGCGUGGGUAACCUGCCCUAUGGAGGGGGAUAACGUUUUGAAAAGAACGCUAAUACCGCAUAAGCGCACAGUAUUACAUGAUACAGUGUGAAAAACUCCGGUGCCAUAGGAUGGACCCGCGUAAGAUUAGCUAGUUGGUAAGGUAACGGCUUACCAAGGCGACGAUCUUUAGCCGACCUGAGAGGGUGAUC
RNAcentral lists this ribosomal RNA (265 nucleotides) under uncultured bacterium. RNAcentral's name for it is "partial 16S ribosomal RNA". It matches the Rfam family "Bacterial small subunit ribosomal RNA", at positions 57 to 305 of the family's 1533-position model. The record is from RNAcentral.